RNAcentral lists this ribosomal RNA (911 nucleotides) under uncultured bacterium. RNAcentral's name for it is "bacterial SSU rRNA". It matches the Rfam family "Bacterial small subunit ribosomal RNA", at positions 33 to 931 of the family's 1533-position model. The record is from RNAcentral.
ACGCUGGCGGCGUGCCUAACACAUGCAAGUCGAGCGAGGGUUUGCUCAGUAUUGAGUAUUCUAAGUCUAGAAUGUUCAAUUCUGAGCAAAACCAAGCGGCGGACGGGUGAGUAACGCGUGGGUAACCUGCCCUAUACACAUGGAUAACAUACUGAAAAGUUUACUAAUACAUGAUAAUAUAUAUUUGCGGCAUCGCAGAUAUAUCAAAGUGUUAGCGGUAUAGGAUGGACCCGCGUCUGAUUAGCUAGUUGGUGAGAUAACUGCCCACCAAGGCGACGAUCAGUAGCCGACCUGAGAGGGUGAUCGGCCACAUUGGAACUGAGACACGGUCCAAACUCCUACGGGAGGCAGCAGUGGGGGAUAUUGCACAAUGGGCGAAAGCCUGAUGCAGCAACGCCGCGUGAACGAUGAAGGUCUUCGGAUCGUAAAGUUCUGUUGCAGGGGAAGAUAAUGACGGUACCCUGUGAGGAAGCCCCGGCUAACUACGUGCCAGCAGCCGCGGUAAUACGUAGGGGGCUAGCGUUAUCCGGAUUUACUGGGCGUAAAGGGUGCGUAGGUGGUCCUUCAAGUCGGUGGUUAAAGGCUACGGCUCAACCGUAGUAAGCCGCCGAAACUGGAGGACUUGAGUGCAGGAGAGGAAAGUGGAAUUCCCAGUGUAGCGGUGAAAUGCGUAGAUAUUGGGAGGAACACCAGUAGCGAAGGCGGCUUUCUGGACUGCAACUGACACUGAGGCACGAAAGCGUGGGUAGCAAACAGGAUUAGAUACCCUGGUAGUCCACGCUGUAAACGAUGAGUACUAGGUGUCGGGGGUUACCCCCCUCGGUGCCGCAGCUAACGCAUUAAGUACUCCGCCUGGGGAGUACGCACGCAAGUGUGAAACUCAAAGGAAUUGACGGGGACCCGCACAAGUA